CUUCCUUCUUCCAGUUGGAGGUGCAGUACGGUGACCUCGGGAUGGUCUUUGAUCCUUCUUAUUAGUUUAAAUGAACAGUUCUUUUAAAAAAUUGUGUCAUUUAAAACUUUAGUUCGUUUGGUUGAACUAAAAAAUCAAAAGUUACGUCGAGGACUCUGCAUCCAGCCGCUUCGCUCGCCUGUUCGUCGCUGCUUCUGGGUUUGGAUCUGCCGGGGCCUGUAUUUCACGGUGGCCCUUUCUUUGCUGCGGAUCGCCGCUUCCGCUCGUCUGCACGGCAGGUUCAGCUGGUUGGAUUUGGUGUUCUGGAUUUGGUCCGCGCGUGGUUGACCGUGUCCUGCUGUGGGGGUCGUCGCCGGUUCUUGCGCGUCCGUACGUCGGCUUUUCAGCUGGGUAUCCGGACAGGUCUUACCAUGGUGGUCUUGACUACAUGUGUCGUUUUUGUGGUGCUUUGUUCUGGUGUUAUGAGAGGGUUGAGAGGGGUUCGGCUGUGUCAGAGGGGAUCCUUGUUUACAACCUGUGCUGCAGAGGGGGACGGAUAGUGUUGCCUCGAUACGUUGAUUGGCCGUCGCCUCUCAGAGAGUUAGCUAAUUUCGACGGCGGUCGUUCCUGCAAGGAGUUCAUGCACUUGAUUCGUCAUUACAAUUCGCUUUUUGCGUUCACUUCCUUAGGUGUUGAAGUUGAUAAGAGCAUAAACAUUGGCAACGGUCCUUAUGUUUUUCGUAUACACGGAGUUGUUUCUCAUCGUAUUGGUUCGUUGGUUCCAUCCACGGGGAAGCCCCUACGUUUUACUCAGAUGUAUGUUUACGACACGGCGAACGAACUAUCCCACCGUCUUAGUGUUUUCGGUUCUUCCGCCGAAACACGUGACGUAGCUGAUCCGGAUAUUGUUAGUUCGUUGCUUCGCAUGUUGGACGACCAUAAUGUGUUGGUUAAGACUUUCA
This is a long non-coding RNA of Brachypodium distachyon (stiff brome), 941 nucleotides long. RefSeq lists it as uncharacterized. NCBI's taxonomy places the organism in Eukaryota, Viridiplantae, Streptophyta, Magnoliopsida, Poales, Poaceae. The record is from RefSeq and is a predicted model, not a curated record. The transcript is spliced from 3 exons.